UACGGAGGGUGCGAGCGUUGUCCGGAUUUAUUGGGUUUAAAGGGUGCGUAGGCGGCCUUAUAAGUCCGGGGUGAAAGCCCGUUGCUCAACAACGGAACUGCCCUGGAUACUGUGAGGCUUGAGUACAGACGAGGUUGGCGGAAUGGACCGAGUAGCGGUGAAAUGCAUAGAUACGGUCCAGAACCCCGAUUGCGAAGGCAGCUGACUAGGCUGUUACUGACGCUGAGGCACGACAGCGUGGGGAGCGAACAGG
Molecule: ribosomal RNA, 253 nt
Filed under: uncultured bacterium
Lineage: Bacteria
Description: partial 16S ribosomal RNA
Rfam family: Bacterial small subunit ribosomal RNA
Source: RNAcentral